CCUACGGGAGGCAGCAGUGAGGAAUAUUGGUCAAUGGACGAGAGUCUGAACCAGCCAAGUAGCGUGAAGGAUGACUGCCCUAUGGGUUGUAAACUUCUUUUAUAUGGGAAUAAAAUGUUCCACGUGUGGGUUUUUGUAUGUACCAUAUGAAUAAGGAUCGGCUAACUCCGUGCCAGCAGCCGCGGUAAUACGGAGGAUCCGAGCGUUAUCCGGAUUUAUUGGGUUUAAAGGGAGCGUAGGUGGAUUGUUAAGUCAGUUGUGAAAGUUUGCGGCUCAACCGUAAAAUUGCAGUUGAGACUGGCAGUCUUGAGUACAGUAGAGGUGGGCGGAAUUCGUGGUGUAGCGGUGAAAUGCUUAGAUAUCACGAAGAACUCCGAUUGCGAAGGCAGCUCACUAGACUGCAACUGACACUGAGGCUCGAAAGUGUGGGUAUCAAACAGGAUUAGAUACCCGAGUAGUU
This 460-nucleotide ribosomal RNA is filed under the name uncultured bacterium. RNAcentral's name for it is "partial 16S ribosomal RNA". It matches the Rfam family "Bacterial small subunit ribosomal RNA", at positions 338 to 795 of the family's 1533-position model. The record is from RNAcentral.